Molecule: ribosomal RNA, 253 nt
Filed under: uncultured bacterium
Lineage: Bacteria
Description: partial 16S ribosomal RNA
Rfam family: Bacterial small subunit ribosomal RNA
Source: RNAcentral
GACGUAGGGCGCGAGCGUUGUCCGGAAUUAUUGGGCGUAAAGAGCUCGUAGGCGGUCUGUCGCGUCGGAUGUGAAAACCCGGGGCUUAACCCCGGGCCUGCAUUCGAUACGGGCAGACUCGAGUGUGGUAGGGGAGACUGGAACUCCUGGUGUAGCGGUGAAAUGCGCAGAUAUCAGGAAGAACACCGGUGGCGAAGGCGGGUCUCUGGGCCACUACUGACGCUGAGGAGCGAAAGCGUGGGGAGCGAACAGG